GCCCUGGUAGUUCAAUGGAUAGAACAGCGCACUCCUAACGCGCCGAUCUAAGUUCGAUUCUUAGUCAGGGCA
RNAcentral lists this transfer RNA (72 nucleotides) under Candidatus Kaiserbacteria bacterium. Its description in RNAcentral is "tRNA-Arg". It matches the Rfam family "tRNA". Rfam says of the family: Transfer RNA (tRNA) molecules are approximately 80 nucleotides in length. Their secondary structure includes four short double-helical elements and three loops (D, anti-codon, and T loops). RNAcentral also lists the same sequence under 2 other names. The record is from RNAcentral. Lineage: Bacteria; Candidatus Kaiseribacteriota.